UACGUAGGGUGCAAGCGUUGUCCGGAUUUAUUGGGUUUAAAGGGUGCGUAGGCGGUUCUUUAAGUCCGGGGUGAAAGCCCACUGCUCAACAGUGGAACUGCCCUGGAAACUGGAGAACUUGAGUACAGACGAGGGCGGCGGAAUGGAGGGUGUAGCGGUGAAAUGCAUAGAUACCCUCCAGAACCCCGAUUGCGAAGGCAGCUGCCUAGACUGUAACUGACGCUGAGGCACGAAAGCGUGGGGAGCGAACAGG
This 253-nucleotide ribosomal RNA is filed under the name uncultured bacterium. Its description in RNAcentral is "partial 16S ribosomal RNA". It matches the Rfam family "Bacterial small subunit ribosomal RNA", at positions 524 to 776 of the family's 1533-position model. The record is from RNAcentral.